This 197-nucleotide non-coding RNA is filed under the name Synergistes sp. The record is from RNAcentral. Lineage: Bacteria; Thermotogati; Synergistota; Synergistia; Synergistales; Synergistaceae.
AAAAUUUAGAAAAAAAGUGUUAUCAUAAAUUAUAAACAGAACUCUUGUUCGUCGGGGGAAGUCGGGUGCAACGCCCGCGCGGUCCCGCCGCCGUGAGAGGAGGACAAGCCAGGUUCGGGGAGGGCGCGAAGGCGCGGCUCCAUCGAACUAUGUCUUGGAUCCCAAGCCGGAAUACCUGACGUUCAAGCGGACACAAG